GCCUCCAUGGUAUAGUGGCUAAAACGUGACUCUUGUAAAGUCGAGUCGGGAGUUCGAUUCUCUCUGGAGGUA
Molecule: transfer RNA, 72 nt
Filed under: Sphingobacteriaceae bacterium
Lineage: Bacteria; Pseudomonadati; Bacteroidota; Sphingobacteriia; Sphingobacteriales; Sphingobacteriaceae
Description: tRNA-Thr
Rfam family: tRNA
About the family: Transfer RNA (tRNA) molecules are approximately 80 nucleotides in length. Their secondary structure includes four short double-helical elements and three loops (D, anti-codon, and T loops). Further hydrogen bonds mediate the characteristic L-shaped molecular structure. tRNAs have two regions of fundamental functional importance: the anti-codon, which is responsible for specific mRNA codon recognition, and the 3' end, to which the tRNAs corresponding amino acid is attached (by aminoacyl-tRNA synthetases). tRNAs cope with the degeneracy of the genetic code in two manners: having more than one tRNA (with a specific anti-codon) for a particular amino acid; and 'wobble' base-pairing, i.e. permitting non-standard base-pairing at the 3rd anti-codon position.
Source: RNAcentral